RNAcentral lists this ribosomal RNA (255 nucleotides) under uncultured bacterium. RNAcentral describes it as "partial small subunit ribosomal RNA". It matches the Rfam family "Bacterial small subunit ribosomal RNA", at positions 26 to 285 of the family's 1533-position model. The record is from RNAcentral.
AGAUUGAACGCUGGCGGCAUGCUUUACACAUGCAAGUCGAGCGGCAGCGCGGGGGCAACCCUGGCGGCGAGCGGCGAACGGGUGAGUAAUGCAUCGGAACGUGUCCCGUAGUGGGGGAUAACCCGGCGAAAGCCGGACUAAUACCGCAUAUGCUCUACGGAGGAAGCGGGGAUUCGCAAGACCUCGCGCUAUGGGAGCGGCCGAUGUCCGAUUAGCUAGUUGGCGGGGUAACGCCCACCAAGGCGACGAUCGGUA